Molecule: long non-coding RNA, 396 nt
Organism: Cyprinus carpio carpio
Lineage: Eukaryota; Metazoa; Chordata; Actinopteri; Cypriniformes; Cyprinidae
Source: Ensembl
GUUUCCUGGACCUUUAGCACGGGAAUGACACAGUUCGUAACCUUGGUCAAACAGGUUUUGAACCUGUCUCAGAAGAAUGCAGUCAUCUCUAAUCUGGAAUUUCACAUGAAUUUGCAUCAUAUUCAGCAUACAUUUUCAUCAGCCUUUUGCAAACACAAAAGCAAGAAAAGGAGACAACGCUUCUUUUGGUGCAUCCAUGAAAAAAAGUGUCUUCUUACAUUGCUACACGGCGGAAUCUGAGGAGAUGAGACGGCUUUCGUUCUGGCAGACCAUAUGCAUCUAUGAAUAUGCAUGAAAAUCUGUCAGCUGGUUAACAAGAAGGACAUAUAUGCAAGACAGGAAGCCAUAGAGCUGUUCCUGCUGAGUGCCAAACACAAUGUCAACUUAUUACACGGU